Molecule: small nuclear RNA, 156 nt
Organism: Dendrobium catenatum
Lineage: Eukaryota; Viridiplantae; Streptophyta; Magnoliopsida; Asparagales; Orchidaceae
Product: U1 spliceosomal RNA
Exons: 1
Source: RefSeq, a predicted model, not a curated record
UUAAUAACCUAUAUAGAAUCAAUAAUUAAUAAUGUAUGUGGUUUAGAUUAGCGAUCAUUAUUACACUUUGAAGAGGAGUUAGUCUACCAUUGGCCUAAUUGGUAGAGUGAACAUCAUAAUUUGUGUUAGGGGGGUUUGCAUAUGCGCAACCACUAU